This 533-nucleotide ribosomal RNA is filed under the name uncultured Ralstonia sp. RNAcentral's name for it is "bacterial SSU rRNA". It matches the Rfam family "Bacterial small subunit ribosomal RNA", at positions 61 to 583 of the family's 1533-position model. The record is from RNAcentral. Lineage: Bacteria; Pseudomonadati; Pseudomonadota; Betaproteobacteria; Burkholderiales; Burkholderiaceae.
GUCGAACGGCAGCAUGAUCUAGCUUGCUAGAUUGAUGGCGAGUGGCGAACGGGUGAGUAAUACAUCGGAACGUGCCCUGUAGUGGGGGAUAACUAGUCGAAAGAUUAGCUAAUACCGCAUACGACCUGAGGGUGAAAGUGGGGGACCGCAAGGCCUCAUGCUAUAGGAGCGGCCGAUGUCUGAUUAGCUAGUUGGUGAGGUAAAGGCUCACCAAGGCGACGAUCAGUAGCUGGUCUGAGAGGACGAUCAGCCACACUGGGACUGAGACACGGCCCAGACUCCUACGGGAGGCAGCAGUGGGGAAUUUUGGACAAUGGGCGAAAGCCUGAUCCAGCAAUGCCGCGUGUGUGAAGAAGGCCUUCGGGUUGUAAAGCACAUUUGUCCGGAAAGAAAUGGCUCUGGUUAAUACCUGGGGUCGAUGACGGUACCGGAAGAAUAAGGACCGGCUAACUACGUGCCAGCAGCCGCGGUAAUACGUAGGGUCCAAGCGUUAAUCGGAAUUACUGGGCGUAAAGCGUGCGCAGGCGGUUGUG